RNAcentral lists this non-coding RNA (31 nucleotides) under Rattus norvegicus (Norway rat). The record is from RNAcentral. Lineage: Eukaryota; Metazoa; Chordata; Mammalia; Rodentia; Muridae.
UGGAAUGCUAGCCACUCUGCGGCUAAUCAGU